GACGAACGCUGGCGGCGUGCUUAACACAUGCAAGUCGAACGGAAAGGCCCUGCUUUUGUGGGGUGCUCGAUUGGCGCACGGGUGAGUAACACGUGAGUAACCUGCCCUUGACUUUGGGAUAACAUCAGGAAACUGGGGCUAAUACCGGAUAGGAGCUCCUGAUGCGUGGUGGGGGAUGGAAAGUUUCGGCUGUUGGGGCUGGACUCGCGGCUUAUCCGCUUGUUGGUGGGGUAGUGGCUUACCAAGGCUUUGACGGGUAGCCGGCCUGAGAGGCGUGCCGGCCACAUUGGGACUGAGAUACGGCCCAGACUCCUACGGGAGGCAGAAGUGGGGAAUAUGGCACAAUGGGCGGAAGCCUGAUGCAGCAACGCCGCGUGCGGGAUGACGGCCUUCGGGGUGUAAACCGCUUUCGCCUGUGACGAAGCGUGAGUGACGGUAAUGGGUAAAGAAGCACCGGCUAACUACGUG
This 468-nucleotide ribosomal RNA is filed under the name uncultured bacterium. Its description in RNAcentral is "partial 16S ribosomal RNA". It matches the Rfam family "Bacterial small subunit ribosomal RNA", at positions 28 to 507 of the family's 1533-position model. The record is from RNAcentral.